This 254-nucleotide ribosomal RNA is filed under the name uncultured bacterium. RNAcentral's name for it is "partial 16S ribosomal RNA". It matches the Rfam family "Bacterial small subunit ribosomal RNA", at positions 524 to 777 of the family's 1533-position model. The record is from RNAcentral.
GACAGAGGGUGCAAACGUUGUUCGGAAUUACUGGGCGUAAAGCGCACGUAGGCGGCUUUGCAAGUUAGAGGUGAAAGCCCGGGGCUCAACUCCGGAAUUGCCUUUAAAACUGCAUCGCUAGAAUUGUGGAGAGGUAAGUGGAAUUCCGAGUGUAGAGGUGAAAUUCGUAGAUAUUCGGAAGAACACCAGUGGCGAAGGCGACUUACUGGACACAUAUUGACGCUGAGGUGCGAAAGCGUGGGGAGCAAACAGGG